GAAGUUCGCCAGGCAGCCGCUGGACGCGCAAGCGUCUGGAGGAAAGUCCGGGCCCCCUAGAGCAGGAUGCCGGCUAACGGCCGGGCGUCGUGAGGCGACAGACAGUGCAACAGAAAGAUACCGCCGAUGGCCCGACUUUGACGCCGUAAGGCGGCAAAGUCCCUUUUCGAGAGAGAAGGGGCUGACGCCGUAAGGCGGCAAAGUCAUCUCCUGAAGAGCUGGAGCGCAAGCUCUGGCGACGAGGGAGAAGGGAUCAGGCAAGGGUGAAAUGGUGGCGCGCCGCAAGGCGCGUCGGGGCCGCGCAAGCGGUCCCGGUGUAAGAGACCACCGCGUGACUGGUAACAGUUCACGGCACGGCAAACCUCAUCCGGGGCAAGGCCAAAUAGGGGAGCAAUGACGUGGCUCGCGUCGCUCCCGGGUAGGCUGCUUGAGGCCGUCGGUAACGGCGGUCCCAGAGGAAUGGCUGCCAGGCCGCGCAAGCGGCCCACAGAACCCGGCUUAUCGGCGGACUUCCAAU
RNAcentral lists this RNase P RNA (517 nucleotides) under Candidatus Nitricoxidireducens bremensis. RNAcentral describes it as "RNase P RNA component class A". It matches the Rfam family "Bacterial RNase P class A". From Rfam's summary of the family: Ribonuclease P (RNase P) is a ubiquitous endoribonuclease, found in archaea, bacteria and eukarya as well as chloroplasts and mitochondria. Its best characterised activity is the generation of mature 5'-ends of tRNAs by cleaving the 5'-leader elements of precursor-tRNAs. The record is from RNAcentral. Lineage: Bacteria; Pseudomonadati; Pseudomonadota; Betaproteobacteria; Nitrosomonadales; Sterolibacteriaceae.